Hemiscyllium ocellatum (epaulette shark) is the source of this 714-nucleotide long non-coding RNA. RefSeq lists it as uncharacterized. The transcript is spliced from 3 exons. Lineage: Eukaryota; Metazoa; Chordata; Chondrichthyes; Orectolobiformes; Hemiscylliidae. The record is from RefSeq and is a predicted model, not a curated record.
AUAUCAGUGGGGGCGGAAGUGGCUGCGCCAACGGCAACUGAAGGGGUGGAAAUGAUUGUGGCGACGAAAGAGCCGCUGUCUUUCUCGGUAGCCGCGGGGUUCGCGAGUCCGUCGGCGAUCUUCCUGGCGAUCGUGGAAGCGGUUGUCUGUGCGGUGAUCGUUGGGGCAGUUGUUUGGGCGGUGAUCGCGGAGGCUGCGAGGUCGUUGGUGAGCGGAAGUGAUGUCACGGUCGUCAGCAGCCGUUGGUGCCGUGGCGCUGUAGAGGCCGAGAGAAGAUUCUGGAACAGUUGAGUAACCACGACUGUGGGGAUUCAAUAGAUCGCACUUGGAUUGAAGACUAUGAGGAUGAUAACAGCAACAUCUGGACAACUGCUUCCACGUUCAUCACCUUGUUCUUCCUGAGUAUUUUCUACAGCGCUGCCGACACUCUAGUGAAGGUUAAAUGAAUGAAUUGUGGACUCCUUUGAUUUUCCUGCUCUGCUUAUCAAGGUCUCUGAAUUCCCAAUCUACAAUCUGUCCUGUUGCAGACUCUAACAGUGAGAUUACUUCAGUUUAUCAGCGUGUAACUGAGACAAUUAUUGAUGGAUUUUCCUUUUUGCUUUGAUAUCUUUGAGAGGGUUGUCGUUGGAAGAAUUUGUAGCUUCCCAGUUGUUUGAAGCCCAUUUGUUUUGAUUUUAUUUGUUUCUUACUCAGAAUGGUUGUCUACCCUUUCUG